CCCUUCGCGGCCCUCGGUCUCGUUUUUCGCUGAUCUCGGGUUGAGGCAUCUGAACGCACAAGGAACCGGGCAGUGUUCUCAUAGUGUGGUCCUGCUUAAAGGAGCUGGCUAGGAUGAGACAAGGGCCACCAUACAGUCCCAUCAGUGCAGUAAUGCUUCAGCAUCUGGUUACCUAUCCUGAAGUGUUCCUGUGUCUUCCAGGAUGAAUACAGGUCUUUGUGAUAAUUUUCUCCAUCUUAAGGAGCUUCAUCUUGUUCCUGUAUAAGAUAGAACAAUCCAGAUGCCUCUGGUAAUAGAGGUUGUUUGCCAGAGAUGACUGCUGAUUUCAAGAACCGGAUUUACGCGGAGGCUGGGAAUGAUGAGGGGAGUUAAACAUGUUUCCUGCUCAACUGAAGGUUGCUAUCAUUGGUAAGUAAAUUUACUUCUAUGAGGUAUGACAAUUAAGAUUUCCCAAUGAAGAAAUACGCACAUGUCUUACUUCCUGUCCUCGCCUCAGAGCCUGUAAAGGUGAACCCACUGGGGCUGGCUGGGGGAAGAGAGGAAAAUUGUUCCAGAAGGAACUGUCUGAGGGAUAUCAAGACCUCCUACAAGAGGAAGUAAUAAAAACGAAAUGGUACUAAGACAUGUUUUUUUUUCCCCAGAUCUGAAGGAUGAGACCAUGCGAAUAGGAGCCUCAAGCUUUGGAGAAUACUAAAGGAAAAUUUCAGACUGUUUUCUAAUCCAGUUUCAACUUGCUUCAUUCUCAU
Long non-coding RNA from Dipodomys ordii (Ord's kangaroo rat), 746 nucleotides. RefSeq lists it as uncharacterized. The transcript is spliced from 10 exons. NCBI's taxonomy places the organism in Eukaryota, Metazoa, Chordata, Mammalia, Rodentia, Heteromyidae. The record is from RefSeq and is a predicted model, not a curated record.